This 55-nucleotide transfer RNA is filed under the name Dipetalonema gracile. RNAcentral's name for it is "tRNA-Thr". Lineage: Eukaryota; Metazoa; Nematoda; Chromadorea; Rhabditida; Onchocercidae. The record is from RNAcentral.
GCUGUUUUAGUUUAAUUGGAAUUUGCGAUUUGUAAUUGUGAGGUUUUAUUCAGUU